Molecule: ribosomal RNA, 483 nt
Filed under: uncultured bacterium
Lineage: Bacteria
Description: partial 16S ribosomal RNA
Rfam family: Bacterial small subunit ribosomal RNA
Source: RNAcentral
AUUGAACGCUGGCGGCAGGCCUAACACAUGCAAGUCGAGCGGAUGAAGGGAGCUUGCUCCUGGAUUCAGCGGCGGACGGGUGAGUAAUGCCUAGGAAUCUGCCUGGUAGUGGGGGAUAACGUCCGGAAACGGGCGCUAAUACCGCAUACGUCCUGAGGGAGAAAGUGGGGGAUCUUCGGACCUCACGCUAUCAGAUGAGCCUAGGUCGGAUUAGCUAGUUGGUGGGGUAAAGGCCUACCAAGGCGACGAUCCGUAACUGGUCUGAGAGGAUGAUCAGUCACACUGGAACUGAGACACGGUCCAGACUCCUACGGGAGGCAGCAGUGGGGAAUAUUGGACAAUGGGCGAAAGCCUGAGCCAGCCAUGCCGCGUGUGUGAAGAAGGUCUUCGGAUUGUAAAGCACUUUAAGUUGGGAGGAAGGGCAGUAAGUUAAGACCUUGCUGUUUUGACGUUACCAACAGAAUAAGCACCGGCUAACUUCGU